Molecule: small nucleolar RNA, 151 nt
Filed under: Loxodonta africana (African savanna elephant)
Lineage: Eukaryota; Metazoa; Chordata; Mammalia; Proboscidea; Elephantidae
Description: Small nucleolar RNA ACA59 (ENSLAFG00000032970.1)
Source: RNAcentral
UUCUGGAGCCAGACUACCUGGGUUUGAAUCCCAACUCUAUCCGUAUUUUGUGUGGCUCGGGGCAAGUUACUUUAACUUCUCUAUGCCUCAGUUUCCUCAUCUGAAAAGUGGGGAUAAUACUAUCUACCCUAGUGGGUUGUAAGCAGAUAGU